This 460-nucleotide ribosomal RNA is filed under the name uncultured bacterium. Its description in RNAcentral is "partial 16S ribosomal RNA". It matches the Rfam family "Bacterial small subunit ribosomal RNA", at positions 338 to 795 of the family's 1533-position model. The record is from RNAcentral.
CCUACGGGGUGCAGCAGUGAGGAAUAUUGGUCAAUGGACGCAAGUCUGAACCAGCCAUGCCGCGUGCAGGAAGACGGCUCUAUGAGUUGUAAACUGCUUUUGUACGAGGGUAAACGCAGAUACGCGUAUCUGUCUGAAAGUAUCGUAAGAAUAAGGAUCGGCUAACUCCGUGCCAGCAGCCGCGGUAAUACGGAGGAUUCAAGCGUUAUCCGGAUUUAUUGGGUUUAAAGGGUGCGUAGGCGGUCGGAUAAGUUAGAGGUGAAAUCCCGAGGCUCAACUUCGGAAUUGCCUCUGAUACUGUUCGUCUAGAGAGUAGUUGCGGUAGGCGGAAUGUAUGGUGUAGCGGUGAAAUGCUUAGAGAUCAUACAGAACACCGAUUGCGAAGGCAGCUUACCAAGCUACUUCUGACGUUGAGGCACGAAAGCGUGGGGAGCAAACAGGAUUAGAUACCCUGGUAGUC